AGUGCAGGGCAUGGAGAAAGGGAAGGCGGGCUCCUGCCAUUGGGGCCGUCAUUUCUGCUUGCCCUGCUGGAGCUGGGUCUCCCUCCCUCCUUGGAAUGGGCCAAGGGCGCAGGGGGUCCCGCCUGGCCUUGCCACCUUGGCUGCUGGUCCUGGGGAUGCACCCAGGCCCUCUCCAGAUCUGCUGGCCCCGCCUGGGCCCUGUGACUGAGCCCUCUUAGUGAGCCACUUGAAAGGGGUGAGGGUGGGGAACCCAGUCUCCAGCAGCUCUGUCCUAUGCAUCUUGGAUGGGAGAAAGAACCUGAGCUCACCAGGGAGGUCUCGCACAGCAGGCGGCUGCCACGGCCCAGGCUCCCCAGCGCCAUGUGGAAGUAGGUGCUGCCGCUGCUCCAGCUGGAGAUCUUGGUGAAGGGAUAGGUGGUCCCUGGACCUGGUGGCCCCCAGCCCCUCCGGAGGCCCAGCAGCUACCUUGGUCUUGGGGUGGAUGAGCAGAACCCCAUGUCGGUUGAUGGCGAUGAGGAUGACGUCCGGGUAGGAAGGCUCCGAGGUUUGCUGGGAGGGAGGGACACGGCGGUCAUAGUCCAGCCCGGGAGGCCAGGCUGCACCUCCCAGGAGCUCAUCUAGGCCACACGCACAUACACACAUACACCCACGCCCUCCAGCCUCACGGCCAGCCCCACCCAAGAUGUGUGCUGGUUGACGCUGGGCCUGCUGGGGCUGGGCUGAGCGGAGCCUGCUUGGGUAGGAGGCCCUGGCGUGGGGCAAGGUUUACCUUCACCUCGAAGAAGGCGGAUCCGAAGGUGGGCCACCGGCAGAUCCACUUCAGGAAGGCCACCUUGGCCUCCUCCACUGUCUUGUCCUUAUGCUUGUCAUAGGCUAGAAGGAUGCUCUGGGGGACAGGAGGGCCAGUAAGGACUUGGGUGCCCAGAGGCCCUCCAAAGCCCUGGUGGGGGCAGCACCUGCCUACCCCAGGGCUAGUACGGUGGGGAGGGGAGGGGAGGAAUGCAGCAUGGGACAGUCUCGGUGCUGUGGAUGGCAUAGGAAGGCGUGGUGUGUGCAGAGCCAGCCCACCCUCCACACCACCCAUGUGCACCCAUGUGAUCUUGGAGCCCAGGCAGGGCAUGGCACUGGUGCAGGGGCCCAGGGAGGAGCAGCAGCACAAGAACCCUUCCCCAGCCCGACCAGGGACCUUUUUCCACUCCUCCGAGGACAUCAGGCGUGUGAGGUUCUCAGGCACCAGUUCCCUCAGGAUCUUGGGGACACUAGCCAGCUGGGACCGGUCGUUGUUGAACUGGGCCUUGUAGAUGAGGCCCGCCAGGUGGAUGGCAUCCUCCCGCGAACACUUGUGGAAUCCGCGCAGGUACUUGGGCAGCUCCUGGGUGAUGGACACACUGGGCAUGCUGGGUCUCCAGCUGCGGCCCACCCGCCCCCAACCUCUUUCCCGCUCAGAUGGUGGGGAACUGGGGCUUAGCCCACUCCAUCCAGGACGGACUGAGCAGGGUAGAGAGUUUCAGGCCAGGGGAAUGACCCUGAGUCAGGGCAGGGCCCCCUGACAUCUGCGUGGAGGUGAUGGCCUGCUCCACCCAUGUGGUUGGCCCUGCAGGCCACGGCCACUGCUCCAUGGGUCACAGGACCCUCUGUCCCACCCUCUCCAAGUCAUGCUGCAGGUGCCAGUGCAGUCACUGUCCCCAAACAUUGCUGCCCUCUGCUCCUGGUUCCAGAGCCCUCAGGGGCUUGGUCUGCCUACCACAUGGGCUGGUACCCAGGGCUGAGGCUGGCCCUGCCCUGGCCUGCUGGCUUCUACAGCCUCAGAACAGGUGUGGGAAGAUGGGGGUGGCCCCAGUGCCCACCAGGGCAGCCUGCCCGGUACCUGGUGGUAAUGGAGUAUGGUGUCUGCAUUCACAUCCUUCCCUGGAGAUAUGUUGAGCCACAAUUUCCGCAUGAAGUACACCUGGUAGGGGAGCGUCACGGGGGCCCCUGGGCGAGGGCCAGCAGUGGGCACCAAGCCUGUCCCAGCAGGUACACCAGCCCUGACCCCCUGCCACCCCCCACACUGCGCCUGCCACCUCCCUGCCUCGAAAGCCCCCACGCUUCUUCCUCCCCAGUCCCCACAUUUUCCUUCAAUAUUAGUGUAGAGGCUGCCUUCUCCAGGAACAUUCCUGGACUCGCACUCCCAGCCCAUGAGGGUCAUGCCCCUCAGCCCUGGGGCAUCCUUCAUCACUCCAAGGUGCAGCCACCUGUUUCUGCCUGAGCUGGCCCUCACCGCCGGGCCCCAGGGCCUGGUUGUUCCCACAACCCAGGGACACACGGGAACGAAUGGAUGGAUGAAUGGGCAUGGGCCGCACAGAGGCCGCCAGUGCCCCCUCGACCCACCCAGCCACGCCCUCCCCCAGCUCCACAGAGGCCUCCUCACCUUCUUUCUGGGGCUUGUUCUUCUUCACCCAGUCAGACACCUCCCUCAAGGAAUCAAAGAAGAAGUCUCCCUCCUUCUGGCUGAUGACCUGGGGAAGGGGAAGGUACAGGGAAGUUGGGUGGCUUCCGGGGACUGUCCUCCUGAGAACCUGCUGGGUUCUGGUCCAGUGGCCGCCUACGGCCUGGGUGCUGCGCUGGAGUCGGCUGUGCGUGGGCUAUUGGCGUGUGGAGCUGGCUCUGCUCCAGGACCCCACCUACCUCUGUCCCAGCAGCCCUGGCCGUGCAGCCUGGUCCAGCAUGGGUGCCCCUGGUAGGCUGAGGCCCCCACAGGCAGCACCUAGGGCCUCGCUCACUGCCCGUCCGCCCACCGUCUGCCCAGCCCCAGCCCGGCCCACCUUGUCUGAAAUCUUGAUGAAGAGGCUGCAGCCCUCCCAGGAGGCCAGCUGCAGCCUGGUGGCAAUGCUGUCACACACAUCCCGCACCCGUGUGUUGGCAACCACCUCCAGCAUCUGGACAGAGAGGCAGCUGGUGAGGCCCGGGGCCUGGCUAGGGGCCAGUACAGCCCAGGAUGAGCCUUCCUAGCCUGGCACUUUUGCUCCUUCAUGAAACUUGGGUUGGAUGUGGUCUGCCCUGAGCAGGGCAAGCCUCCCUUCCAGAACCCUGGCCAGAGGUUCAUGUUGUUUAGUCCCAGCAUUCGCUGUCCUGGGGCCCUGCAGGCCUGGCCUUUUGACUCGCCUUGAGAGCCCAGCAGCCAGACUGUGGGAACUUCCUGUUACCGGGACCCGAAUAUCAAGGCCAAAAAGACCAUUGUGCUGUUGGAGAGGGCGCGAGGCGACACUGCCCACUUUGGCCUCUCAGCCCGCUUGUCUUUGCUGCCCCUGAUCAAGGCCUCUGUGUCACGGUGGGGUCCUGGUGGUCUCCUACCUGCCCCCUGGCCCCUUUGUUCCCCCAGCAGCCAUGGCAGGCUCUGUGCAC
RNAcentral lists this long non-coding RNA (3384 nucleotides) under Homo sapiens (human). RNAcentral's name for it is "non-protein coding lnc-LIMS2-1:1". The record is from RNAcentral. Lineage: Eukaryota; Metazoa; Chordata; Mammalia; Primates; Hominidae.